GCUCCAAAAAUACACCUUCCACACAUAACAACAACUUUAAUACUGAGUAUCUGCAAGAUGUCUACGGUGGAUAACAUUAAGCAAAAGGGUGAGAAACAAAUUCAAUAUGAAUGGUGUAAAGAAUGCGAAGGUAGAGAAAUACACAACUUAUCAUACAUCCAAUACAUAAUCAACAAAUCAUAAUCACACAUCCAUUCACAAUAAUAUGCACAUAUAUAUGUAAUGCGACUUACGAUACAAUGUGACACUUAUGCAUGUGGUACCAUCUCAACAUUUGGUUCUCUUUGGAAUCGGGUCCCUCCUUAUGAACCCAUGAGCCCCCAUUUUGAGCUUGGGACAAGCCACUAGUCCCCCCUUCUAAACUAGUUAAUAUGUAUCUUUCAACGACAUGGCACAAUGAUGCAUGUCCAUACAAAUCAAUGCAACAACAAUAAUAACACUUACGGCCUCUUCUAACCAUAAACAACAUGCAUUGACACACAAUAGUAAUCCCUUUUCUGAAUUACUAUCCAUCAAUAACACCAACAAUACAUAAUUAAUCACCAUAUAGUCAUGCAUUUUAUAACAAUAUGAAUCAUAUCCACAUCAUAUAACAACACAAAACAGCAUCAUACGCAUCUCAUACCAUUGCUACAUAUAAACAACAACAGGUAAGUAAGGAAAUUACCAAUGAACAACAAUAAUUCCACCAUAAUUAAUUAAAUUCAUGACAAUUAAUUAACUACUGACACCAAAAUGUUCAAAUAGUAGUCAUACAUCACCCAAACAACAAUAACACCUCAAAAGUCUGAACUGACAACUCAGACCAUGCAACAGGAACGACAAUGCCCCUUCUGACAACAUGACGGGUGAUCCGGCAUCCUGGUGACGCUCGUCACAUGCUUACAACUCCCAUGCCGUCAUCAUAGUGAAAAUCGUCUUGGAAAACCAAGCCUGGAGACCAUGACGAUCUCCCUGUCAUAGAGCUGACGCCCGUCAGCAUCUCAAGGUGCAUGAUGGGUAACUCGUCAUCUGGGUGACGCCCGUCACCCUGCACCAGAAGGAAAAAACACUAAUUCUUCCAUGAGAGUUACCUUGAACUUUGAUUUAUGAUCCCUAAUCAUUCCCACACGCCCAAAAAAUGAUAAUGCAUGUAAUAACAUCAUUAUAACAUACCAAAUCAUUGAAUUACACAAAUUAUUCAUGAACUUCAACACAUUCAUGUUUAUGUUCAAACCUUCAACAACCCCAACAAUGACAUACAAACAUAUACACAUAAACAUAAUCAUAUAUACACAAAUCAAAUCACGAAAUUUAGAUGAACACACCUUUAAUUAUCAAUUUCCAGAACCACAUAUAACAACAACAAUUCAUAAGCAUUUCACAUAAUUCCUAAAGAGAGUAAGAGUAUCUCUUCUCUAUCUUUUCAUGCAAUACAUGCAUAUAGAAGCCCCCUCCCCCCCUUUAUGUUAGGUUCCUUGCAAAAAUCUGAAUUGGUGAUGGUGUGUUCUUCCCUUUCCAAGCCCUAGUCUCAUUUGCUCUUCCAAACUCUAUUUAACGUACUGACAACCCUUAGGUCUCUAAUCCGUUUUUAUCUAAUUUAAUCUUUAGGUAAUUAUACUAAGACCCAAUUCUUUUUAAAAUUUUCACUAUUUCCCUUUUGUUCCUAUUUUCCACCCAUAAACUUAUAUUUCUAUUUAUUUUAAUUAAUUAAUAAAAACAAUUAUUCAUUCUAAUUAUUUAUAAUUAUUCUAAUUCUCCUAAUCCUUCUAUCACCCCAUCAAUGCUCUCACCACACCCUACCACAUAUACAUACCACUCAAUAUAUUUAAUUAAAAAUAUAUCACAUACUAAAUAAUUAAAUAAAAAUACGAAUAAUCUGACUAAAUCAAUUAAUCAAAUCUAGGGGUGUUACAUAGUUGAAGAAGAAGAAGAAGAUGAAAGUGAUACACAGUCUGAUUAUCUGUUGAACACCAACAGUGAAGAUGGUAAUCAUCAAGCGCCAUUACCUCCAAGUCACGUAUAUUGUCUACCACAAUAUAUGACAAACUUGAACUUGAAUGGUGAUGAGUCAUCCUCUAAUAUUUUUUACAAUCCAUAUAUGCGGUUAGAGGGUGAGUUAAAAGUGGGAGACAGGUUCCACACUAAAGAAGAGUGAAUGUGAGCUAUCAAAAAAUUUCACAUGGAGAACUCUGUUGAUUAUACCGUAGAUCACACUAAUGCAAGAAGAUAUGUCAUUCUUUGUCGUAAUGUGCUUUGCAUGUUUCGACUAGCACCGUCUUACAGGAAGAUAAUUGAUUCAUGGGAGAUAAGUUAUAUACAUUUAUCUCACAAUUGAACCGCCACUAUUAUUGCACAUGAUCACCAUAAAUUAAACUCUAAAAUAAUAUGUCAAGACAUUUUGUCUUUUGUUAGCAAGGAGCCAUCAAUGAAGGUAAGUAUACUAAUCUUUCAUAUUGUUACAUGAUAUAAUUAUAAUCCCUCAUACAAGAAAGUGUGGAUUGCAAGAAAAAAUGCUAUUGAACGAGUAUACGAAAAUUAGAAGGAUUCGUACAAAAAAAAAUCCACAAUAAUUGGUGACACUUAAGACAUAUACUCUGGGAACUGUUACAAUUUUGAAGACACGGUCGGCAUAUACGCCGUACAGAACUUGUGUCAGUGGAAAUAUAAUAUUUCAUCGAUUCUUUUUAGGCAUUUCAACCAUGCAUCAAAGAUUUUGCGUUUUGCAAACUUAUUCCUAAAAUUGAUGGAACAUGGUUGUACGGGAAAUACAAGGGCACAUUACUUAUGACAGGGGCACAAGACGACAACAAUAAUAUAUUUCCCAUUGCCUUCGCUCUGAUUGAAGGUGAGACUUUGAGUGGUUAGAGUUUCUUUCUCAAGAAUCUCAUAACAUAUGUUGCUCCACAAUCCAACCUCUGUUUGAUUUCAGACAGACAUGCAUCUAUUGAGAGUGUGUAUAAUAAUCCUGAGAAUGGAUGACAAAAUCCUCCUUCUAGCCAUGUCUACUGCAUUAGACAUAUUGCACAAAACUUCAUGCGAGAAAUCAGAGACAAGAACCUUUGGAAAAAAUGUUGUGAUUGUAGUGUACUCCCUCCGUCCCAUAUUAUAAGCAAAUUUCACCUUUCUAGAUUCAUUAAAUAAUUAAUGUAUCUGGUUUAUUAUAUAGAUCAGAUACAUUAAUUAUUUAAUGAAUCUAAAAAGGUGAAAUUUACAAAUUUCACCUUUCUAGAUUCAUUAAAUAAUUAAUGUAUCUGGUUUAUUAUAUAGAUCAGAUACAUUAAUUAUUUAAUGAAUCUAAAAAGGUGAAAUUUGCUUAUAAUAUGGGACGGAGGGAGUAUGCUUUAAUUCAGCCAUCAUUCCGACACUAUCGUAGGGAAAUUAGAUUGUCAAAUGCGGAUGCAUUAAUGUGUGUGGAUAACAUUCCAUUGGAGAAGUGGAUAAUGGAAUUUGACGAAGGACGCCGAUGGGGCCACAUGACAAUAAACCUUGUUCAGUCCAUGAACAACUUCUUCAAAGACAUUAGAAACCUAUCAAUAAUCGCGUUGGUGAGAGCAAUAUAUUUUAGGUUGGGAUCACUUUUUACAUCCAUAGGCAAAAAAUGGAGUUCGGUGUUACGGUUGAGACAAUUAUUCAGUAAAAGUUGCAUGAAAGUGAUGAAGGGGGAAACUAUCAAAGCUAGCACACAUGGGGUUACAAUCUUUGACCGUCGUAGACACAGUUUUAGUGUAAAAGAAAUAAUGGACCACAAUGAGGGGAGGCCGAAUGAAGACUAUCAGAUCGAACUAAAUAGAGGUUGGUGCGAUUGUGGCAAGUUUCAAGCCUUAUGUAUGUCUUGCUCCGAUGUCAUUGCGACAUAUUCAUAUGCUCGCCAUAACACUUCCAAGCAUGUAUCUGCCGUUUACAAAGUCGCAAAUGUAUUCAAUGUAUACAACAAUAACUUCCCGAUGAUAGUAAAAGGGGACUAUUUACCUACAUAUCAAGGGAACAUAAUUUGAUGCGAUAAAAAUAUGCGACAGAAGAAAAAAUAUCGCUCCAACAGCACAUAUAUUAAAACAAAAAUUGAUAUAACUAAUAAAAUGGUAAUAUUAAAAUAAAUUUGCAUGAUAAUUUUUUUUCUUUAAAUUUUUAUAACCUUAUUAUUUUAUAUAUAUAUAUAUAUAUAUAUAUAUUAAUUUUUGGUUACAACAAAAAUAACAUAAACACUCUAUCAAUAAUUAAGUUAAGAAAGCAUAAAAUUAAUUAAGCUUAAUCUUUAGUAUAUUUAAUAAUCCAAUAAAGAAAAUUUAAAAACACAUUGAAAUAUCAACACCGUUUGAUUUCCAUCAAACAAAAGCACUUGAAAUCUCAACUCCAUGAGACACACAAUUUCACAAAAUCUCAAAUCUCUUAUCCAACCCAAGUGAGAUAACAAAACACAAAGUAUCAUAAAUCACCACCAAUAACAACAAUCCAUCUCAGCAUCUUUACUUCUCUCACCUUAUCCAAAAUCCAUUUUCCCACCACCAAUUUCUCUCCACACAGAAUCUAAAAACCUUCUCUUCUUCUCUUUCCAAUAUCAUCACACAAAUCAAAUCCAUCACACACAAACACCAUUCUUUUUUCCUCACAAAAAAAUGUCUCUCACCAUUCCAACUAACCUCUCGAAACCCACCUCAACCCUAAGACCCAAACUCACCCAAAAACCAAAACUCUCCACCAUCAUCCACUGCAGCACAAACCAAACCCCAAACAAUCAAACCGACCAUGCAAACUCAAAUCUAAAAGCCUUCUCCGCUGCACUAGCCCUCUCCUCAAUCCUCAUCUCAUCCCCACUCCCGGCCGUCGCCGACAUCUCCGGCUUAACCCCAUGCAAAGAAUCAAAACAGUUCGCCAAACGCGAAAAACAGUCAAUCAAAAAACUCGAGUCCUCCCUCAAGAUUUACGCUCCCGACAGCGCUCCGGCGCUGGCGAUAAACGCGACCAUUGAGAAAACAAAGAGAAGGUUUGACAAUUAUGCGAAACAAGGUCUGCUGUGUGGCGCUGACGGGUUACCUCAUUUGAUUGUGAGCGGUGAUCAGAGACAUUGGGGUGAGUUUAUCACUCCGGGGAUUUUGUUUCUGUAUAUUGCUGGAUGGAUUGGAUGGGUAGGAAGGAGUUACUUGAUUGCGAUCCGGGAUGAGAAGAAACCGACUCAGAAAGAGAUUAUUAUUGAUGUUCCACUUGCUUCUAGGUUGGUUUUUAGAGGCUUCAGUUGGCCUAUUGCUGCUUACAGAGAGUUGUUGAAUGGUGAACUCGUUGCCAAGGAUGUUUAGUUUUCUUCUAUUUCCAACAAGGUCCAAUUCAAACUCUCUUUUAAAUUUUGUAUAAUUUGAAAUUGAAAAUUUUGGUCAUGAUGUGUUAAUAAUCUUGAAUUCUUCAAGUUGUCAAACAGAAACUAGUUUUGGUGAGAAUUUUUUAAUUCAAUGAUCUUUUAUUAUUUUUUUAUUUUUUUAUGAACUAGGU
RNAcentral lists this long non-coding RNA (5463 nucleotides) under Lathyrus oleraceus (garden pea). RNAcentral describes it as "Pisum sativum (pea) long non-coding RNA (PSAT_LNC003399)". The record is from RNAcentral. Lineage: Eukaryota; Viridiplantae; Streptophyta; Magnoliopsida; Fabales; Fabaceae.